UACAGAGGGUGCAAGCGUUGCUCGGAAUCAUUGGGCGUAAAGGGCUAGUAGGUGGUCUCAUUUGUCUUGUGUGAAAUCCUUGGGCUUAACUCAAGAAGUGCGCAAGAAACGGUGAGACUCGAGUUCUGGAGAGGGUCGUGGAAUUCCCGGUGUAGCGGUGAAAUGCGUAGAGAUCGGGAGGAACACCAGAGGCGAAGGCGGCGACCUGGACAGAUACUGACACUCAACUGCGAAAGCGUGGGGAGCAAACAGG
This 253-nucleotide ribosomal RNA is filed under the name uncultured bacterium. Its description in RNAcentral is "partial 16S ribosomal RNA". It matches the Rfam family "Bacterial small subunit ribosomal RNA", at positions 524 to 776 of the family's 1533-position model. The record is from RNAcentral.